AUACGUUGUGCGUAAACAAAAGUAUAAAAUGUAUAAAUUCAGAUAUAAAUAUUGAUUAACAAUGGAUAUAAACUGUGAGAGGUUAGGAAAUUUCAAUGUUAAAAUGAUUGGCAAGAUGGCGCCCGUCAAAUACCCAGUGUGCCCCGCGCGAUUGAUUUGCGCAUGUCAGUUAUUCGCAUUGCAAAUGGCGGCUCCUUGUUAUUGUUCAUGGCGUUUUAUGACUUGUCCCUUUAUAUUACCGAUUAUGUCGAGUUUUUUCGUGAUUCCUACCGCGCGCUGUGUGCAGAAAGUGAAGUAAGACUUGCCCGGCAUAUUUUUGAUUAAAAUUAGUGCUCCUGUGGUGUGGCUCCGUGCAUUUUGGACGCGAGAAAUCCCGCACGAAGUUGCAAAGAAAUGGGAAACAAUAAGCAUAUUUAUUAGUGCUGGCGUUGUUUGGAGUUGUCGGUUUAAAACCGACAAACAAACAUCUUAUCACCACAUUCUGUAGUGAUACCCUGAGGCGUUUGUAACCUCUCUGGGUAGUUAUGUGAUUUGUGGUUGUCAUGGCGGCUGAUAGUGAUGGUGAUCUGAUUCAAACGGUGGUAACGUGCGAGGGUAACCUAGAAGAUCCUGAAUUUCGGCAUAGGUUUAAAACCAUUGUUGAUCGUCUUAAAUCAUUACUUUGUAAAGAAAAGGGUGAUGGUUUAAGAGUAAAUAAAGUAGAGCCAUGGAACUCUGUCAGAGUCACAUUUUCAAUACCCAGAGAAGCUGCACUACGUCUUCGAGAAUUAGCAGCUCAGGGUUCUCCAGCUCUUACACAACUUGGAAUUCUUUCAGUGCAGGUUGAAGGAGAUCAGGUAAUAUCAUUGAGGAUAGCCAACCGCUUUAGUGGUGAAGCACAGGAAAUUGUGUUACGUUCAGGAUCCUCACAAGACAGUGGUGCCAAAUCUCAAAAUGAAUCCACUAGCAAUACAGCUAAUGCUGACAAUGACCCUCCAACAGCUUUACCUGGUCCAAGUAAUACAUCUAGUAUUUCUUCAGCAUUGCGUAAUGUGGCUCAAAUAAUAGCAGCUGGUACAUCAUCAGAAAAAGCACCACAGUUUCGUUCUCCAAAUGUAGUUGCACCUACAGACUGUGAUCCUAUCCCACCAUUUCUUACAAAAUCUGUACAGUCAGCAUCAGGAAGUAAUAGUGUUGGUGUAUCUGGAAAUCAACCAGUAACUAAUCCCAGUGCUUCGCCUAGGAAUAAUUAUAAUGGUCCAUUCCCAUUUGCCAGUAUGACACAUGCUGCCCAAGCAAUACAUAAUCGUGAAUCACAAGCAACAAUUAAAAGUGCAAUGCAGUUUAAACAUCAUGGACAGCCACCCCCGCCUUAUCCUGCUCAAGAGAAUUUGGCGACAGUAACAACAUUAACUACUGGUCAUACUACUACUCAGUCAGUUGUGUCAGUUGGUCAGUUGACAAAUCAGUACAAGUCUUCAAUUACCACUACAUCUAGUCUGUCACCAAACAAUAACAAUCUGGCAGGGAAUUCAAAUGGUAAUGGAAAUCAGGUUGCUCUGUCCAGUCCACUUCUUGUAAAUCUUUUACAAAAUGAUGCUGGAACGCACCCUAACAAUGUGAUACCUGGUCAGAAAAUGUUACCACCAGCUGUUAUUGAUAGUUCUGGAAUUACUAACCGUAUGAGACCCACUAAAAAACCAACAGUUAGAAGAAAAGAUUUAUCUUCGCCUAGUGAGUCUCCACCAAAUUUAGAUUCACUCAGAACAGAAGACCUUAUUGGAGGAACAACGGUCAUUCCUGACUUAUCUCAAUCUUCUACAUCUGCAUUUGCAACCGUUAAUACUAAUCAGCCUUCAACUAUUCCUCAGCAACAUUCAGUCAAUGUAAUUGGUAGCACUGGGCAAAAUAUGACGCAACAAGUAAUACAUCAAACUUCUACUAGUGGACAAAUGCAACAACCUGCCUCGUCAUUACAUGCUCAAGUACAAAUUCAACAAAAGUUUCCCAUUAGGCAAGAAUUGGCUUAUAGACCUUCACAAAUCCAAUUACAAAGUCAACUUCCAAUUAGACAUCCAGUGAAUGGACAGCAAAUUCGAACGCCUUUACAACGGCAGUUACUACUUCAACAACAGCAACAACAUCAAAUUUUAACACAACAGCAACUAAAUCAACAAAAUAUAAAUACUUCACAUUUGCUUACACAACAGACUUCAACUCAACAAUCACUGGUACAACAACAAAAUGUAAAUACGGCGUUACAGUCUACAUCUGUUCCCAAUCAACCGCUCCUGCAACAACAACAGCAGCAGCAACUGAUGCAACAUUCAACAGUAAGCAUGAGUAUUCCACAACAACGGCUAAGUUACUUAAAUAAUCAACGUCAACAAACUCCUCCUCCUUAUUCGCGACAACCGGUUCCACCGCAGUCCCAUUUAGGGCAGCAGAAUCAAGCACUGAAUGUGCAACAACAAUUACAUCAUAAUCAGCUUAAAAAUAUAAAUGUUAACACCAGUGCUACAGCUGAUUUUCGCUAUGGGCAGAGUCAAAAUAUUCUCAGUAGAAAUUAUCAACCUACAACAAGUAAUACUAAUGGGACCACGUGGAACGCACAAAAUAAUUCUAUUCCACAAGGUGCUCAAGUCAAUACCACACGUUUGCCAACUACAAAUCAGGUUUCAGGUGCCUUUUCUCAGUGCGGAUCUCACACUAACCACGUUUCUAAUAGUAAUGCUGCUUCGCCUACCACUAAGGUUGAAACAUCUGAAUCUCCUAAACCUAAAGAAGAGACACCUGAACCAGAAUACACGUCAACCGGUAAAAUACGACAGUUUCUUAUUAACCCUUUAACCGGCCAUUUGGAACCAAUGCCCAGUGAAAGUUCAGAUUCGGAACCAGAAAGUGCGGUGGAUAAUCCAGAUGAUUUCUUUUCCUUUCCAUCACCAUCAAACGAUCGAUCAAAUUCCAUAUUUUCUGACGACGAUGCAGACAGUAAUUUCUCAAGAAGAAACGAUACAACAACAAAUACAGAUCAAUCAGAUUCUGAAACCACGGUAAAAUCUACUGCCAGUGAAGGAAGUUUGAAGCAUAGUAGAAUAAAAUCAAGUAGAGAAACCGCACAGAGUCCUAUGCCUGGAGAAAAAAUCAAACUAAGAUUAAAGUUAGAAAAAUCUGAACCCGUCACUCCAGCGUAUAAAGUUGAUGUUUCUUUCGUAAAUACGCCACCAAUUAGGAAAGCCGAUAAAUCAGUAAAUAAAAUGUUUACCACUGGUAUUCCGAACUCAGGAAUCGGUGAUGAACCGAGAGUGCCUCCGUUACAUAUUUCCUUAAGAGGGCGUAAUGCUUCAGUAGUACAAAUCAGAAAAAAAGAAAAGAAAUCAUUAAAAGAUGGAGAAUUGGAUCCAACUAGUAUAAAAAAGAGGGGGAAGUUGAAAAAAAUGAAAGAGUGCUUAGAUGGGAACAAGUUGUUGCAAAAAAAGUCGUCCUUGAGCAUGAUAAUAGGUACUUCAUCCGCAUCCAAACUACCUUUAUCCAAUUCUACAAUGAUCAAUAGUACUAAUACUAUUAGCAAAGUUAAUAAUAUACUUCAAACAGUUGUAUCAAAACCUAAUGCCUUAAAACAAGAAUUACCGGUCGACGUUGUACAUGUUCAAAGUGGCAUUACAAAACCAAGUUCAAGUAAAAGCAGUGAUGUAGAUGAUAUACCAUUGAACAGUAGAAUUCCAUCUCCUUCAAAACACAAGUCUACUGUUCUGAAUCAACCAUUAAACACGCAACAGUCUUUAACAAAAAAUCAAGUUGAAUUAGAUGUUCCAAACCAUAUGCAAGAACAUAAAAUAGGAGGAGGAAAAACCAAAAGAAGAGAUUCUAAAAAGAAAUCAGAAUCGGGAGAUGGUUUACAUCGUGAACAAAAUUUAUUAUCUGGUGGUAGAAUAUUGGAUAAUCAGGCAAAAUGGAGAAAACUUAAUUAUAAAGCUGACGCGGCUCAGGCUAUAAGAAAAACCGAUGCACUUCUAACUGGAAAUGAUUUUAAUGCAGUCAAAAAAGUUGGGGAAAUUAGACGAACAAGUGACAGCGACAUUAAUAGAUCGGCAGUUGAAAAGAAUAAUACUUUGAAUGCUGUUGCUUCACGACUGACAGAAAUAAAUGGCAUAAAAAAGGAUUUAAUUAGCCAAGAAAAAAGAAGAAGAUUAAGUUUAAUGGAUGAAAAAGAUCUACAUUUAGGAGAAUCUCAAGAUACAGAGACUACACAUUUUAGUAAUCAGAAGACCAUUCCUGAAUGUUCUUCCACUAAUGUAGUUUCAAAUACAAAUACAAAAUCUACUGGUAAUUCAUCAUUUGAAAAUGAAAAUUCUGGAUUAGUACUUUCUAAUAUGCCUGCACAAAAUGAUUCAAAUUCAUCCACCAAUCUUGAAAAUAAAGUUUCUGCACACGUAGAAACUACUGUGAAAAAUACACAAGCAUCUGUAAACAGGAUUAUUUCGGGAAAAAAUAAAGCAGACAUAGAUAAUUCUAAAGCAAAUUCUAACAUUACAGUAAAAAGUCAAACUAUCAAUCAGAAACUAAAAAAUCAUAUGGUUUCAAAGAAUGACACAAAUGCUGCACUAAAUAGGCAUAAUAAAGUAGAACAUUUUAGUCACAAGAAAGUUAUUCAGAAUCAUAUAAAGCAGGUUGAUCGAGCCAUUAUAGAAAAUAAAGUGGAUAAUACGCAAAGAAUUAGUUUAUUGAAGACUACCCAAAGUUCAGCAAUAGGAAACUCAGUGGACCAAGUUCCCAGAUCCCAAAGUGUUGAUGUACCUUCCAGCAAGCCCACUUUACCAAUUGGAGAAAUUAAUGUGACGGAAGCAAAAGUUAAACAAAAAUUGCUUGAAACAACAGCUCCAAUUGCGAUUGGAGUGGACGCGAGUGUGGAAAGAGUUAGUAGUGGAGGAGGUGGUGAAGAUUCAGGCAUUGAGUCCAUGGAUGCUCUUUCAGAGAAGUCACCGAAUCAAGGGGAAUCUCCUUUGCAUAGGCCAGCGACUGAACCGGUAACACAAAGCAGUGCAAAGACUGCUGUUCAAGGGGAAUCUUCCCUACCAAUCACCAAUAAGAACGUGCCUUCCUCAACUAGUAGUAGUGAUAUGUGUUCAAAUUCCCAUUCAGAACUUUUGAAGUCCAGUGGUCAGCAAAGGUUAAGUCCUGUGUCUGUCACAAAUUAUCUUGAAAACCAUUUAAACCAUAAUAUGUCAAACUCUAGUGAACAUGACAUAAAAGAUGUAUCUAGUGAAAAGUCGACUUCAACGGCAACGAGAACUGGUGGUCAUAGUGACUUGAUUGCUAGUUUAGAAGUGGCUGAUAAUGAUAAAAGUGUAUCUAAUCCAUUAAUGACAGGAUCUGUGACUAUUGUGACAACUUCUGUACCCGGUACUGUGGAUAGUGAUAAUUUACUGCAAUGCGCACAGCAGCAAACAAAUGACUUUUCCGAAAAAGACAGUUGUAGCAUUAAAUUAGAAGGUUCUACUAAUCAGCAUGAUCAGGGUACAAUAAAUACUACGCAUGAAGUGUCAAGAGCCCCCGAAAGUGCAACUGAAGAUAAUGUGAAAACAGUCAUAGACGAUAAUAGUGCAAUUAGAUUAAAUGAUGAACCUCAUGGACAAAAUAAUAAUGGUGUGCCUGUAAUACAAAAUCAUGUUUCUUAUAAUAAAAUAAAGACAGAAAAACUUGAUAACACAGUUACAAGUGAGGCUAAUGCAGUGGCAGAUAACUCAUGUUCCGGUAGUCAAACUUUUAGUUCAGAAAUCAAAGUAGAAUCUAAUAUCAAUACAAAAGUCGAUGAUACAAGGCAAAACGAUCGUUCAGAUAAUACAAAAAGUUCUAACGUUUCUUUAAAUACAACAUCUGUUAAGUUAGAGCAAUGUUCUGAUCAAAACCAAAAAUCUAAUGUACAAAGCCAUCAAGUAUCUGUGAGAGAGUCUUCUAUGAAUCUUCAAAAAGUUACAGAUGACCUGGUUAAGAAAAUUGUGAACGAUACAAGUGAUAUAAACAUAGGUAUUCAAUCACCUUUAGGUGAAGAUCCUCAGCCGAUUAGAAUCACUCCACCACUGUACACAUAUUCUAAUCCAGUAGUUUUGCAAAGGGAUGAGACUCCAAGCCCAGCAGCACAAAAUCCAGAAGUGGAUUCCAGCGACGUUGAACACGUUAAACGGAAACGUAGAAGAAAACAGGAAUUAGAAGGGAGGCAAGAUGUCAUAUGUAUAGAAGAUAACGAUGAAACACAUUUUGUGGAAAGGUUGAAUUCUAAUAAUACAGAUGAUUAUGUCAAAAGAACACCAAAGUCAUUGCUGGAACAACUUCUAAUUGAAAUCCCGAAUGACACUAAUGAAAAAAGAUCUUUAAGAACGAGAUCCCAAAAAUUAAAUAGUCCUGAUAUUGUAAAGACUCCAAAAAGUAGUCCUCAUGGUCCUAAUAAAAUAGAAGAAAGACGCAGCAUAUCACCAUAUGCUAAAGCAAGUCCUAAGUUAGGAGUAUCAAAAUUAUCUCCUAAUACGACAAUAAAAAUAGGGAAAAGAAAACGUCAAGAAAGUGAGAGUUCUGUAGCAUCUAGUACUGCUGAUGAUCCACAACCAAGACCAGGAAAAAGGAAAUGCUCCGAGAAUGCUGCAGAACUCAUUAAAGCUUGUAUAGGUGUAGAUGAAGCUGCUUCAUUAAAAAAACAAGUACCUGUUAAAGAAGAACAGUCGAAAAAAGGAUUCAAUAUAUUGGCCAAGGCUAAGAAAGGUCCCAUUGUGGUAGAAGUAGAUUCGUCUGAUGAUGAGCCAUUGAUUGAAUCUGUAGGAAAAGCAAGAAUGCGAUUAUCAGACGAAACAUCCGCUGCAUCUCCAAAGUCUAAAGAUCAAAAGUAAGCAACAUCGGUUCAGCAUUCUUUUAGCAGCAGUGCAUAUCUGAAUAUGUCAGAGAUUUGAGAGCCCCGCUACUAAUAGAGUGCAAAGAGAGAGCCGUUUAUUAACCACCAAGCAACCGAGUACAACUGCGGUAGUUACCGCUGGAAAGGAAAGGCUACGAGGUA
Molecule: unclassified non-coding RNA, 7024 nt
Filed under: Megachile rotundata (alfalfa leafcutting bee)
Lineage: Eukaryota; Metazoa; Arthropoda; Insecta; Hymenoptera; Megachilidae
Description: uncharacterized LOC100875083, transcript variant X2
Source: RNAcentral